Molecule: long non-coding RNA, 501 nt
Organism: Spinacia oleracea (spinach)
Lineage: Eukaryota; Viridiplantae; Streptophyta; Magnoliopsida; Caryophyllales; Amaranthaceae
Exons: 3
Source: RefSeq, a predicted model, not a curated record
GUACUUUUUUUUGUCUGAGAGGAUAGUGGCCAUAUUCCCAUCAGGCCUGACCUCAGAAUUGCAGUUGGAAAUGGGGAAGGAAAUUCAAAAUUUGUCCCAGCUCCUUCAUCCUGGACACUAAGUUUUUCAGAUAAUAAUUUUAUGGACGAAUUGGAGCUAGACACUGCAGAAAUCCUUAGAAAAGCCAGAAGAAGGAGAAAACAAAAUUGUAAAAGAUCAUUCCUAACUCAAAGAAAGUGAAGGUCUACACUCCGAGGAAUGCGCCUAUACUAGUGAGGAAAUUGAUGUGGUUCGUGAGCAAUGGGCUAAGUUUUUUACCCGCAAGUAUUUACUAUUGGCUUGAGCGCGCUUGAUCGAGGUGGUUUAGUUGUUAUAGAACAAUCGUUUACAUUAAAAUGUAUGCGUACAUUGAAAUUGGAACGUAUAUUUGAAUGUAGUACGUGCACUUUGGUUUUGGGAUAUAUAUAUAUAUGUAUACAAAACACCAGUUAUUAUUUUUUA